This 477-nucleotide ribosomal RNA is filed under the name Candidatus Scalindua brodae. RNAcentral's name for it is "bacterial SSU rRNA". It matches the Rfam family "Bacterial small subunit ribosomal RNA", at positions 365 to 832 of the family's 1533-position model. The record is from RNAcentral. Lineage: Bacteria; Pseudomonadati; Planctomycetota; Candidatus Brocadiia; Candidatus Brocadiales; Candidatus Scalinduaceae.
UUCGCAAUGCCCGAAAGGGUGACGAAGCGACGCCGCGUGGGUGAGGAAGGCCCUCGGGUUGUAAAGCCCUGUCAGGAGUUAAGAAAUGUAAGUGUGCUAAUAUCACAUUUAUUUGACGAAGGCUCCAAAGGAAGCCACGGCUAACUCUGUGCCAGCAGCCGCGGUAAUACAGAGGUGGCAAGCGUUGUUCGGAAUUAUUGGGCGUAAAGAGCACGUAGGUGGGUUUGUAAGUCAGAUGUGAAAGCCUUCUGUUCAACGGAAGAAUUGCAUCUGAAACUACGAGUCUUGAGUGUAGGAGGGGAGAAUGGAACUUCUGGUGGAGCGGUGAAAUGCGUAGAUAUCAGAAGGAACGCCGGCGGCGAAAGCGAUUCUCUGGCCUAUUACUGACACUCAGUGUGCGAAAGCUAGGGGAGCAAACGGGAUUAGAUACCCCGGUAGUCCUAGCCGUAAACGAUGGGCACUAAGUAGAGGGGUUUU